CCCUGAGCCUGUCGCUUUCUCAGUUCUGGGCUUGGGCCCCUCACGGGAGCGGCCCUGCUGGGACAGUGUUUUCCCAGGAGGCCCCGAGCCCUUGCCCUGGCAGCUCCAUGACACCCCAUGCAGACUCCAACAGGGGCUUUGAGCCUCUUCCUGCUGGGGUCCCACGGAUGGUGCAGGCAGAGGCCCGAGCACUCCUGGUGGCCCUGUGUGGCCCACGUCGCUCAGUAUCUUUCCUCGCCUUGCAGAGGGGUGUGAAGCACAAGGCUCCAGUCCAGGCCGCACAGAGCAGCGACGGGCCCCUCCUGAAGGACCUCCUACGGCGGCCAAGGCGCAGUUAGCUCCACGCUAGAGCCCAGGCUACCAGAGCACCUGUCCCUCGGCCGCCUGGUACAGCUCCCACUCUCAGCAGGUGACACUCGCGGCCUGGAAGGAGAAGGUGUCCACGGAGCCCCCACCCACCCUCGGCGGUUCCCGUCACCACUGCAGUUCCAUCCCAAGUCACAGCUGCCCUAGGUCCCGUGUGGGAAUGCUCGUGUGAUGGAUGGUCCUAAGCCUGUGGAGACUGUGCACGUGCCUCUUCCUGGCCCCCAGCAGGCAAGGAGGGGGGUCACAAGCCUUGCC
This 621-nucleotide small RNA is filed under the name Pan troglodytes (chimpanzee). RNAcentral's name for it is "retained intron". The record is from RNAcentral. Lineage: Eukaryota; Metazoa; Chordata; Mammalia; Primates; Hominidae.